Non-coding RNA from Glycine max (soybean), 118 nucleotides. NCBI's taxonomy places the organism in Eukaryota, Viridiplantae, Streptophyta, Magnoliopsida, Fabales, Fabaceae. The record is from Rfam.
UUCUUAUUGGAUGAUGACUGUCAUGUAUCAUGUUCUAAUUGGAUGUCAACUCCAUAAAAGAUGAAAUGCAUUGUUAUUUUCAUUGACCAAUCAGAACAUGACACAACAGUCAUCAUCC